GAGUGGCGAACUGGUGAGUAACGCGUGGGUGACCUGCCCCGAAAACGGGGAUAACCGUUGGAAACAACAGCUAAUACCCGAUAUACUCGGUGAUUCGGUUCAUCUAGUAAAGGCUCCGGUGCUUCGGGAUGGGCCUGCGGCCUAUCAGCUAGUUGGUGGGGUAAUGGCCCACCAGGGCGAAGACGGGUAGGGGGCGUGAGAGCGCGGCCCCCCACACUGGCACUGAUAUACCGGCCACACUUCUUCCGAAGGCUUCACUCUGGGAUAUUGCACAAUCUGCUAAAGCCGGAUGCAUCGACACCGCGUGGGCGAUUAACGCCUUCUGGUUGUAAAGCCCUUUUAUGGGGGAAGAGACAAGGACGGUACCCCUGAAUAAGCGUCGGCUAACUACCUGCCGGCACCCGCGGUAAAACGUACGACGCAUGCGUUAUCCGGAUUUACUGGGCGUAAAGAGCGUUGAGGCGGUUCCGUAAGUUGGGCGUGGAAGCCGCGGGCUUAACUCGGGGAGGUCGUUCAAUACUGCUGGACUUGACUCCCCAGAGGGAGGCGGAAUUCCCGGUGUAGCGGUGAAAUGCGUAGAUAUCGGGAGGAACACCAGUGGUGAAGGCGGCCUCUUGGGCUGUUUCUGACGCUGAAGGUGAAAGCUAGGGGAGCGAACGGGAUUAGAAACCGCGGUAGUCCUAGCCGUAAACGAUGGAUGCUGGGUGUGCAGGGUAUAGAUCCCCUCCGUGCUGAAGCUAAUGCGUUAAGCAUCCCGCCUGGGGAUUACGGCCGCAAGGCUUAAACUCAUACGAAUUGACGGGGGCCCGCACAAGCAGCGGAGCGUGUGGUUUAAUUAGAUGCUACACGAAGAACCUUACCUGGGCUUGACAUGUAGGUAGUAGUGAAGCGAAAGCGGAACGACCCUUCGGGGGGCCUACACAGGUGCUGCAUGGCUGUCGUCAGUUCGUGCCGUGAGGUGUCGGGUUAAGUCCCGUAACGAACGCAACCCUUGCCCUUUGUUACAUGUGUUUAAGGGGACUGCCCGGGACAACUGGGAGGAAGGUGGGGAUGACGUCAAGUCAGCAUGGCCUUUAUGUCCAGGGCUACACACACGCUACAAUGGCCGGUACAAUGGGUCGCCAAGCCGUGAGGCGGAGCCAAUCCCCCAAAGCCGGUCUAAGUUCGGAUUGUGGGCUGCAACUCGCCCAUAUGAAGCUGGAGUUGCUAGUAACCGCGUGUCAGCAAUAGUGCGGUGAAUACGUUCCCGGGCCUUGUACACACCGCCCGUCACGUCAUGGAAGCUGGCAACACCUGAAGCCAGUGAGCUAACCCGCAAGGG
RNAcentral lists this ribosomal RNA (1321 nucleotides) under uncultured organism. RNAcentral describes it as "16S ribosomal RNA". It matches the Rfam family "Bacterial small subunit ribosomal RNA", at positions 93 to 1446 of the family's 1533-position model. The record is from RNAcentral.